AUUCCAGCUCCAAUAGCGUAUAUUAAAGUUGUUGCAGUUAAAAAGCUCGUAGUUGGAUUUCUGGUGAGUUCGUUUGGCCGGCCGUAAAGGUCUGUGCCGAAAUGUUAUUCGCCAUCCUUGGUGUAAUCUUGUCCGCCAUUAAGUUGUGUGGGCUUGAGGAUGCCAUCGUUUACUGUGAAAAAAUUAGAGUGUUCAAAGCAGGCUUAUGCCGUUGAAUACAUUAGCAUGGAAUAAUAAGAUAGGACCCUGGUACUAUUUUGUUGGUUUGCGUACCUAGGUAAUGAUUAAUAGAGACAGUUGGGGGUAUUUGUAUUCCAUAGUCAGAGGUGAAAUUCUUGGAUUUAUGGAAGACAAACUAAUGCGAAAGCAUCUACCAAGGAUGUUUUCAUUA
This 391-nucleotide ribosomal RNA is filed under the name Triparma sp. Its description in RNAcentral is "partial small subunit ribosomal RNA". It matches the Rfam family "Eukaryotic small subunit ribosomal RNA", at positions 582 to 975 of the family's 1831-position model. The record is from RNAcentral. Lineage: Eukaryota; Bolidophyceae; Parmales; Triparmaceae.